This 788-nucleotide ribosomal RNA is filed under the name uncultured bacterium. RNAcentral describes it as "bacterial SSU rRNA". It matches the Rfam family "Bacterial small subunit ribosomal RNA", at positions 8 to 809 of the family's 1533-position model. The record is from RNAcentral.
AGAGUUUGAUCCUGGCUCAAGACGAACGCUGGCGGCGCGCCUAGCACAUGCAAGUCAAACGAGAGAGAGGAAGCUUGCUUCCUCAAUCGAGUGGCGAACGGGUGAGUAACGCGUGAGGAACCUGCCUCAAAGAGGGGGACAACAGUUGGAAACGACUGCUAAUACCGCAUAAGCCCACAGCUCGGCAUCGAGCAGAGGGAAAAGGAGCAAUCCGCUUUGAGAUGGCCUCGCGUCCGAUUAGCUAGUUGGUGAGGUAACGGCCCACCAAGGCGACGAUCGGUAGCCGGACUGAGAGGUUGAACGGCCACAUUGGGACUGAGACACGGCCCAGACUCCUACGGGAGGCAGCAGUGGGGAAUAUUGCACAAUGGGGGAAACCCUGAUGCAGCGACGCCGCGUGGAGGAAGAAGGUCUUCGGAUUGUAAACUCCUGUUGUUGAGGAAGAUAAUGACGGUACUCAACAAGGAAGUGACGGCUAACUACGUGCCAGCAGCCGCGGUAAAACGUAGGUCACAAGCGUUGUCCGGAAUUACUGGGUGUAAAGGGAGCGCAGGCGGGAGAACAAGUUGGAAGUGAAAUCCAUGGGCUCAACCCAUGAACUGCUUUCAAAACUGUUUUUCUUGAGUAGUGCAGAGGUAGGCGGAAUUCCCGGUGUAGCGGUGGAAUGCGUAGAUAUCGGGAGGAACACCAGUGGCGAAGGCGGCCUACUGGGCACCAACUGACGCUGAGGCUCGAAAGUGUGGGUAGCAAACAGGAUUAGAUACCCUGGUAGUCCACACCGUAAACGA